This 229-nucleotide ribosomal RNA is filed under the name uncultured bacterium. Its description in RNAcentral is "partial 16S ribosomal RNA". It matches the Rfam family "Bacterial small subunit ribosomal RNA", at positions 568 to 796 of the family's 1533-position model. The record is from RNAcentral.
CGCGUAGGCGGCCCUUUAAGUCAGAUGUGAAAGCCCGGGGCUUAACCCCGGAAGUGCAUUUGAAACUAUUGGGCUUGAGUAUGGGAGAGGGAAGUGGAAUUCCUGGUGUAGAGGUGAAAUUCGUAGAUAUCAGGAGGAACACCGGUGGCGAAGGCGACUUCCUGGACCAAUACUGACGCUGAGGCGCGAAGGCGUGGGGAGCAAACAGGAUUAGAUACCCUGGUAGUCC